AUGGGCUGUGAAACUGUAAAGAAGAGUG
RNAcentral lists this non-coding RNA (28 nucleotides) under Cricetulus griseus (Chinese hamster). Lineage: Eukaryota; Metazoa; Chordata; Mammalia; Rodentia; Cricetidae. The record is from RNAcentral.